Molecule: ribosomal RNA, 445 nt
Filed under: uncultured bacterium
Lineage: Bacteria
Description: bacterial SSU rRNA
Rfam family: Bacterial small subunit ribosomal RNA
Source: RNAcentral
UCCAGACUCCUACGGGAGGCAGCAGUGGGGGAUAUUGCACAAUGGGGGGAACCCUGAUGCAGCGACGCCGCGUGGGUGAAGAAGCGCCUCGGCGCGUAAAGCCCUGUCAGCAGGGAAGAAAAUGACGGUACCUGAAGAAGAAGCCCCGGCUAACUACGUGCCAGCAGCCGCGGUAAUACGUAGGGGGCAAGCGUUAUCCGGAUUUACUGGGUGUAAAGGGAGCGUAGACGGCAUGGCAAGCCAGAUGUGAAAUACCGGGGCUCGACCCCGGGACUGCAUUUGGAACUGUUAAGCUGGAGUGUCGGAGAGGCAGGCGGAAUUCCUAGUGUAGCGGUGAAAUGCGUAGAUAUUAGGAGGAACACCAGUGGCGAAGGCGGCCUGCUGGACGAUAACUGACGUUGAGGCUCGAAAGCGUGGGGAGCAAACAGGAUUAGAUACCCUUGUA